Molecule: long non-coding RNA, 554 nt
Filed under: Rattus norvegicus (Norway rat)
Lineage: Eukaryota; Metazoa; Chordata; Mammalia; Rodentia; Muridae
Description: long non-coding RNA NONRATT017364
Source: RNAcentral
CAGAAAUGAAUUUUCCCUGAUUCUACACAAGAAUCCUCUGGCAGAGUUCAUAGAAGAGCUGCCUGCUGGGCGAUCUGCACUGUGCUACUGCAACUUACUCUGUGGGAUCAUUCGAGGAGCCCUGGAGAUGGUUCAUUUAGCGGCUGAUGUUACAUUCUUGCAAGACAGACUAAAAGGUGACAAUGUGACAGAAAUUGGAAUAACAUUUCUGAAAAAGGUGGAUGAUAAAAAAUAUAGACGGAAAAAAUGAAGACUAGCAUGCAGAGAGCCACCCACUGGUUGGCUGUCCAGUGAGUAUUAGCUAAACACACACCCACAGAAGUUCUGUAGUAGCUUCGGCAGGCUUAUAAAUCUUGCUGUGUGUCACACAAUUUUAGCAAUUUCAGAUACAAGUAACUUCUUAUAAAACAGUAAGCAUGAAUUCCACCCACAUAUUCAAUCCCUCCUCAGCCAGUCUAUCCAUUCAGUUACCUGUGACAAUAGGAAAAGAAGAAGAAGCAUCACCUAUACAAGCUGUUAGGGCCUUGGCUCUUUUCAAUAGAAAAAAAAAAUGA